RNAcentral lists this ribosomal RNA (788 nucleotides) under uncultured Bacteroidota bacterium. RNAcentral describes it as "bacterial SSU rRNA". It matches the Rfam family "Bacterial small subunit ribosomal RNA", at positions 85 to 875 of the family's 1533-position model. Lineage: Bacteria; Pseudomonadati; Bacteroidota. The record is from RNAcentral.
UCGCUGACGACCGGCGCACGGGUGCGUAACGCGUAUGCAACCUACCUCAUACUGGAGGAUAGCCCCUGGAAACGGGGAUUAAUACUCCAUAGUAUCACGAAUUCGCAUGUUUUUGUGAUUAAAGUUUUUCGGUAUGAGAUGGGCAUGCGUCCCAUCAGCUUGUUGGUGAGGUAACGGCUCACCAAGGCAACGAUGGGUAGGGGGCCUGAGAGGGUGGUCCCCCACACUGGUACUGAGACACGGACCAGACUCCUACGGGAGGCAGCAGUGAGGAAUAUUGGUCAAUGGAGGCAACUCUGAACCAGCCAUGCCGCGUGAAGGAUGACGGCCCUAUGGGUUGUAAACUUCUUUUAUAGAGGAAGAAACUUGUCUACGUGUAGACAACUGACGGUACUCUACGAAUAAGGAUCGGCUAACUCCGUGCCAGCAGCCGCGGUAAUACGGAGGAUCCAAGCGUUAUCCGGAUUCAUUGGGUUUAAAGGGUCCGUAGGCGGGUCUUUAAGUCAGUGGUGAAAGCCGACAGCUCAACUGUCGAACUGCCAUUGAUACUGGAGACCUUGAGUACAAAUGAAGUAGGCGGAAUGAGUCAUGUAGCGGUGAAAUGCAUAGAUAUGACUCAGAACACCGAUUGCGAAGGCAGCUUACUAACAUGUAACUGACGCUGAGGGACGAAAGCGUGGGGAGCGAACAGGAUUAGAUACCCUGGUAGUCCACGCCGUAAACGAUCAUCACUCGCUGUUGGCGAUAUACUGUCAGCGGCCAAGCGAAAGUAUUAAGUGAUGCACCUG